CUUGACCAGCAGAGGAAGUACACGCCGAGGAUGACGGAGCUCCUCAAGGCUUGAACGGAGUGAGAAGAGCUUGGACUAGUAAGGAACCAUAAAAAUGAGCCAAAGAAGACUGUUAUGGCAACCUCCCCCCUGCCCCCCUACUGAUAUUACUGAGGACAUCGUCC
Molecule: long non-coding RNA, 164 nt
Organism: Physeter macrocephalus (sperm whale)
Lineage: Eukaryota; Metazoa; Chordata; Mammalia; Artiodactyla; Physeteridae
Exons: 3
Source: RefSeq, a predicted model, not a curated record